UUAAGCGACUAAGCGUACACGGUGGAUGCCCUGGCAGUCAGAGGCGAUGAAGGACGUGCUAAUCUGCGAUAAGCGUCGGUAAGGUGAUAUGAACCGUUAUAACCGGCGAUUUCCGAAUGGGGAAACCCAGUGUGAUUCGUCACACUAUCAUUAACUGAAUCCAUAGGUUAAUGAGGCGAACCGGGGGAACUGAAACAUCUAAGUACCCCGAGGAAAAGAAAUCAACCGAGAUUCCCCCAGUAGCGGCGAGCGAACGGGGAGGAGCCCAGAGCCUGAAUCAGUGUGUGUGUUAGUGGAAGCGUCUGGAAAGGCGCGCGAUACAGGGUGACAGCCCCGUACACAAAAAUGCACAUGCUGUGAGCUCGAUGAGUAGGGCGGGACACGUGGUAUCCUGUCUGAAUAUGGGGGGACCAUCCUCCAAGGCUAAAUACUCCUGACUGACCGAUAGUGAACCAGUACCGUGAGGGAAAGGCGAAAAGAACCCCGGCGAGGGGAGUGAAAAAGAACCUGAAACCGUGUACGUACAAGCAGUGGGAGCCUCUUUAUGGGGUGACUGCGUACCUUUUGUAUAAUGGGUCAGCGACUUAUAUUCUGUAGCAAGGUUAACCGAAUAGGGGAGCCGAAGGGAAACCGAGUCUUAACUGGGCGUUAAGUUGCAGGGUAUAGACCCGAAACCCGGUGAUCUAGCCAUGGGCAGGUUGAAGGUUGGGUAACACUAACUGGAGGACCGAACCGACUAAUGUUGAAAAAUUAGCGGAUGACUUGUGGCUGGGGGGGAAAGGCCAAUCAAACCGGGAGAUAGCUGGUUCUCCCCGAAAGCUAUUUAGGUAGCGCCUCGUGAAUUCAUCUCCGGGGGUAGAGCACUGUUUCGGCAAGGGGGUCAUCCCGACUUACCAACCCGAUGCAAACUGCGAAUACCGGAGAAUGUUAUCACGGGAGACACACGGCGGGUGCUAACGUCCGUCGUGAAGAGGGAAACAACCCAGACCGCCAGCUAAGGUCCCAAAGUCAUGGUUAAGUGGGAAACGAUGUGGGAAGGCCCAGACAGCCAGGAUGUUGGCUUAGAAGCAGCCAUCAUUUAAAGAAAGCGUAAUAGCUCACUGGUCGAGUCGGCCUGCGCGGAAGAUGUAACGGGGCUAAACCAUGCACCGAAGCUGCGGCAGCGACACUAUGUGUUGUUGGGUAGGGGAGCGUUCUGUAAGCCUGCGAAGGUGUACUGUGAGGUAUGCUGGAGGUAUCAGAAGUGCGAAUGCUGACAUAAGUAACGAUAAAGCGGGUGAAAAGCCCGCUCGCCGGAAGACCAAGGGUUCCUGUCCAACGUUAAUCGGGGCAGGGUGAGUCGACCCCUAAGGCGAGGCCGAAAGGCGUAGUCGAUGGGAAACAGGUUAAUAUUCCUGUACUUGGUGUUACUGCGAAGGGGGGACGGAGAAGGCUAUGUUGGCCGGGCGACGGUUGUCCCGGUUUAAGCGUGUAGGCUGAUUUUCCAGGCAAAUCCGGAAAAUCAAGGCUGAGGCGUGAUGACGAGGCACUACGGUGCUGAAGCAACAAAUGCCCUGCUUCCAGGAAAAGCCUCUAAGCAUCAGGUAACAUCAAAUCGUACCCCAAACCGACACAGGUGGUCAGGUAGAGAAUACCAAGGCGCUUGAGAGAACUCGGGUGAAGGAACUAGGCAAAAUGGUGCCGUAACUUCGGGAGAAGGCACGCUGAUAUGUAGGUGAAGUCCCUUGCGGAUGGAGCUGAAAUCAGUCGAAGAUACCAGCUGGCUGCAACUGUUUAUUAAAAACACAGCACUGUGCAAACACGAAAGUGGACGUAUACGGUGUGACGCCUGCCCGGUGCCGGAAGGUUAAUUGAUGGGGUUAGCGGUAACGCGAAGCUCUUGAUCGAAGCCCCGGUAAACGGCGGCCGUAACUAUAACGGUCCUAAGGUAGCGAAAUUCCUUGUCGGGUAAGUUCCGACCUGCACGAAUGGCGUAAUGAUGGCCAGGCUGUCUCCACCCGAGACUCAGUGAAAUUGAACUCGCUGUGAAGAUGCAGUGUACCCGCGGCAAGACGGAAAGACCCCGUGAACCUUUACUAUAGCUUGACACUGAACAUUGAGCCUUGAUGUGUAGGAUAGGUGGGAGGCUUUGAAGUGUGGACGCCAGUCUGCAUGGAGCCGACCUUGAAAUACCACCCUUUAAUGUUUGAUGUUCUAACGUUGGCCCCUAAUCGGGGUUGCGGACAGUGUCUGGUGGGUAGUUUGACUGGGGCGGUCUCCUCCUAAAGAGUAACGGAGGAGCACGAAGGUUGGCUAAUCCUGGUCGGACAUCAGGAGGUUAGUGCAAUGGCAUAAGCCAGCUUGACUGCGAGCGUGACGGCGCGAGCAGGUGCGAAAGCAGGUCAUAGUGAUCCGGUGGUUCUGAAUGGAAGGGCCAUCGCUCAACGGAUAAAAGGUACUCCGGGGAUAACAGGCUGAUACCGCCCAAGAGUUCAUAUCGACGGCGGUGUUUGGCACCUCGAUGUCGGCUCAUCACAUCCUGGGGCUGAAGUAGGUCCCAAGGGUAUGGCUGUUCGCCAUUUAAAGUGGUACGCGAGCUGGGUUUAGAACGUCGUGAGACAGUUCGGUCCCUAUCUGCCGUGGGCGCUGGAGAACUGAGGGGGGCUGCUCCUAGUACGAGAGGACCGGAGUGGACGCAUCACUGGUGUUCGGGUUGUCAUGCCAAUGGCACUGCCCGGUAGCUAAAUGCGGAAGAGAUAAGUGCUGAAAGCAUCUAAGCACGAAACUUGCCCCGAGAUGAGUUCUCCCUGACUCCUUGAGAGUCCUGAAGGAACGUUGAAGACGACGACGUUGAUAGGCCGGGUGUGUAAGCGCAGCGAUGCGUUGAGCUAACCGGUACUAAUGAACCGUGAGGCUUAACCUU
RNAcentral lists this ribosomal RNA (2902 nucleotides) under Escherichia coli KTE225. Its description in RNAcentral is "bacterial LSU rRNA". It matches the Rfam family "Bacterial large subunit ribosomal RNA". The record is from RNAcentral. Lineage: Bacteria; Pseudomonadati; Pseudomonadota; Gammaproteobacteria; Enterobacterales; Enterobacteriaceae.